AGAGAGAGGACACUGGACUAAGGCACAGAACAUGCCACAAUUUCUCCUCCAUACAUGCUGCUCUGUGAGUUAUUUGUCCCUAAAUAAAUGGAGGACUGUUCUGGGGUCCGCCCCAUGGACUGUGUCCUAGCUGUUCUCGUGCCAGGGAGGAAGGGAGCAGCGCUGUGUCCUGUGGCCUGCGGGAGCCUCUGCCAAUGGCGGCUGACCUCCCCUCCUCUCCUCUCCAGCCUCUGUCCUGAGAGCGCAGCUAACUCACAGAUAGCAAAAGAGAAGCUCAGAGAGGGCAAUGAACUUGCCCAAGCCACACAGCAAAUGAGUGGCAGAGUUGAGGCUGGAACCCAAGACUCAGUACUAGACAGGGACUCCACUCCACCAAGACAUGAAGUUGGAAGGUCAGCAUAACCUUACCAAGGUCUUGGCAAGGGGUGGGGAAUGCACAGAAGGUCAAAGUAUGAGGACCAACUCUGUUGGCCUCUAACGCUAGCCUCCUGCUCCGGGGUGAAACCUUACCCGGGGCACUCUAGGGAGAUCAAGUGGUAACUGACCCAGAUGUGUCAGGGGGUCAGAUCAGAUCAGAUCAGAGGAGGCCUCCCAGAGUGGCUAUACUAAUAUUAGAAAAAAAUAGACUUUAAUCUAAAACAAAAAAUGCCAUUAGAGAUGAGAGGGACAUUUUAUGACAAAGGGUCAACCCAUCAGAAAGCUAUAGCAAUUAUAAACAUAUAUGCACCUACGAACACAGUCCUAAGAUACAUGGAACAAAGGCUGAAGGGAGAAACCCACGAUGCAACAGUAACAGUUGGAGACUUCAGUACCCCACUUUCAACAAGGUACAGAAUUUGGUUUUGUGUCUGCUCUUGACUGGUUGUGAUGGCUUAAGGUUUUGAUGAAGUUCCAGCUUCUUAUUUUUAUUCCCUUGGCUGUCAGCUAGCUACCCUAAGCUAAAGUUUUCCAUUUUUCUUCAAGACCCAGAGAUGAAAGGUGGCAAAAUGAGGCUCCCCGCCUUGUCCGUGUCUCAGGCAAAAGAGAUCUGCUUCAGUCGUCCAGUGUGACCUCAGUUUAGGAGGAAUCAGUCUUUGGCUGUGGACUUGGAACAAGCCCACCACUCUUCCCUCAAGCUGGGCCAGUGGCAGAAGCUACUGACGGUGGCUCUGUUUCCCGUUUGGUCCAGGAGGCAGCCUCAGCAUCUUUUUCGACACAGCACUCCACACAGUGAUUAUACCUGGGCAUGAAAUGGAGCUUUUGGCCCCACUCAUCUAGUGUGACCUCAGUGCCCCAUGCUACCACUCCUGAGCUGGGGGCUAGGGCUUUGGCUUGGACUAGAGCUAAGUCAGUGGCCACCUGCUACCACAUUCUCUCCAUUAAAGUACAGGCCAGCCAGCUGUCCAACCAAUGUCACCCUCUUCCUCCUCACCAUGUGGCCUCUCACAUCCGAAGCCAAGAGCAGGACUUAGGAGUGUCCACAGUAUCAGCUCUCCUUGGAGAAGGUAGAAGUGUAUGGGGUCCACACACUGUCCUGUUCAGUGUGUGCAUGACUUGGGACACACUGGUCACCCAUGACUCAAGGCAGACAUGGCACCAGAGAGCUGGCCCAUCAAGGCUGCAGGUGCCCAGCGUGAACCCCUAGUGUUGGAUGUGUGCACACGUGCCUGUCCUCCUCAGCAUGCAGCAAGGUGCUGGCCCCUCAGGGUCACCUUGAGGAUGCUCCUCCCUCCACGGCCUUGGCAUCAGAUGAGAGCCUGAAACCACCCCCCCUCCCCGGCAGUGCCUGUCUCAUUACCAGUUGGGCACAGAGAUGGCAUCACCCGUGCCUGCAGAUGGAGCCAGUUGGCACAGGUGCCUGCCUGCAUGGCCAGUUGAGAAAUUAAUCUUCCAGUCACCGCGACCAGCAGAGGUAGGUGCUGCUUUAAAUUAUGAGGGAAAGUCUCCCAAUUUCUAAACACAGCGUCCAUUUUAUCAACAAGAUAUAUAUGACCUCUCUGACAGCCCCUGUGCCCCACCCCUCUGCCUCUCUGCCACCGCACACCAGCUGCACAAGGACAGAGGAUAAAGCAAGCUUUGCCUCUAUCUUGAACUUUCUUCCCAAGCUCCUUCUACAAGUGCCCAUGAUCAAAAGGAAAUUGUACCUCAAAAUACCAUCUCUUCCCUGAGAGGCUGCCUCCCCCCACCCCGCUCGACAUACCAGCAGGAGUAGGUACUGUCUCUGGAACAUUUACUGUGUGUCCCCCACCAUGCUCGGUAGGUGUCACACACUAGAUUACCUCAAUUCUCAUGAUGGACUGUGAUGGGAUCCCCAAUUUAAUAGGUGCAGAAACUGAGCGCCAGGCAAGUUAAGUAACUUGCCCAAAGUCACAUAGCCCACAGAGGGACCUGGGGCAGUGGGAAGCCUAAGCCCCAUGCUCUUAGCCAAGGUGUUAUUCUGUGAUUAUCAGGUACUAGGCUCUGAGAGCUCGUUUCUUUUCUUUUCUUCUUCUUCUUCUUCUUCUUUUUUUUUUUUUGAUCUUGAUAAAUGAAAAUGUUCCUAUCCCUAAAAUGAUGCUUUGCUGCUUCUGGAUCACUUUAUUAUAGUCAAAGCAGGCUAUGACCUAUGGCUUAUCCAGCGUGAAGGCAUAUCAACAGCUGAACAUUGCUGAUAAGACACCGGGAUUCCAGAGAAGGGAGCCAGUGCGUGUUGGGAAGAGACAGAUCACAGCAAGCAGGACACUGGAGAAUGCUUCCCAUGGAGGUUCCUGUCUGUAUGGAUGCCUGGAAGUGGUUAAUAGAUGCCAAGAUGCAAGAGUCCUUCUUCACAUCUUUGUGGAACAAUCCACUGUUUCACAAUGAGCUGUUUCCCUCUAAUGGGUUUGUUCUUUGCGGGAUACCCAAGAGAAUAGCGAUACCGUCAAUUACAACAGGAAAAUCCAUCUCCUCUCUCCCAGUGCACUUGGCCCUGUGAUGCCACAGGUGACGACUCUGAAGAUCAUGCUUCCCUUGACAAGAUUUCUAGAUACAGAAGCCAUUUUUCCCUCCACCAACCUAGG
Molecule: long non-coding RNA, 3017 nt
Organism: Herpailurus yagouaroundi (jaguarundi)
Lineage: Eukaryota; Metazoa; Chordata; Mammalia; Carnivora; Felidae
Exons: 3
Source: RefSeq, a predicted model, not a curated record